GUUGGUUAUCUAACUCGCAGUGGUAGAGCAUCUGCCUUGCAAGCAGAAGGCUUCAGGUUUGAUCCCCAAAGGCAACU
Non-coding RNA from Podarcis lilfordi (Lilford's wall lizard), 77 nucleotides. NCBI's taxonomy places the organism in Eukaryota, Metazoa, Chordata, Lepidosauria, Squamata, Lacertidae. The record is from the annotation of a GenBank genome assembly.